CAGCCGUAAACUAUGCGCGUUAGGUGUAUCGGUGACCACGAGUCACCGAGGUGCCGAAGGGAAACCGUGAAACGUGCCGCCUGGGAAGUACGGUCGCAAGGCUGAAACUUAAAGGAAUUGGCGGGGAGCACCACAACGGGUGGAGCCUGCGGUUUAAUUGGACUCAACACCGGGAAGCUCACCGGAUAAGACAGCGGAAUGAUUGCCGGGCUGAAGACUCUGCAUGACUAGCUGAGAGGAGGUGCAUGGCGUAGACGUCU
RNAcentral lists this ribosomal RNA (260 nucleotides) under uncultured archaeon. Its description in RNAcentral is "partial 16S ribosomal RNA". It matches the Rfam family "Archaeal small subunit ribosomal RNA", at positions 748 to 1009 of the family's 1478-position model. The record is from RNAcentral.